CUUAAACCACUCAAGUGUUGCUUUAGCAGUGUGUUUGAGGUCAUUGUCCUGCUGGAAGGUGAACCUCCGUUCUUGCCUCCAAUCAAGCACAGAGUGGUACAGGUUUUGCUCAAGAAUAUCCCUGUACUUAGCACCAUCCAUAUCCCUCAACUCUAACCAGUUUCCCAGUCCCGGCUGCUGAAAAACAUCCCCACAGCAUGAUGCUGUUGCCACCACCAUGUUUCACUGUGGGGAUGGUGUUCUCUGGGUAAUGUGAUGUGUUGGGUUUGCACCAGACAUAGCGUUUUCUUUGAUGGCCGAAAAGUUCAAUUUUAGUCUCAUCAGACCAGAGCACCUUGCUCCAUACAUGCUGAAAGUAAUGGCUUUCUUCUGGCCACUCUGCCAUAAAGCCCAACUCUAUGGAGCAUAUGGC
Non-coding RNA from Pelobates cultripes (western spadefoot toad), 412 nucleotides. The record is from the annotation of a GenBank genome assembly. NCBI's taxonomy places the organism in Eukaryota, Metazoa, Chordata, Amphibia, Anura, Pelobatidae.